Molecule: ribosomal RNA, 253 nt
Filed under: uncultured bacterium
Lineage: Bacteria
Description: partial 16S ribosomal RNA
Rfam family: Bacterial small subunit ribosomal RNA
Source: RNAcentral
UACAGAGGGGGCAAGCGUUAUUCGGAAUUAUUGGGCGUAAAGGGCUCGUAGGUGGCCAACUAAGUCAGACGUGAAAUCCCUCGGCUUAACCGGGGAACUGCGUCUGAUACUGGAUGGCUUGAGUUCGGGAGAGGGAUGCGGAAUUCCAGGUGUAGCGGUGAAAUGCGUAGAUAUCUGGAGGAAUACCGGUGGCGAAGGCGGCAUCCUGGACCGGCAUUGACGCUGAGGAGCGAAAGCCAGGGGAGCAAACGGG